GACAGAGGCCUCGAGCGUUAGGCGGAAUCACUGGGCUUAAAGCGUGUGUAGGCGGGCCCGUAAGUGUCUUGUGAAAUCCCACGGCUCAACCGUGGAACUGCUGGGCAUACUGCGGGUCUUGGGCCAACUAGGGGCAGCCGGAACAAGCGGUGGAGCGGUGAAAUGCGUAGAUAUCGCUUGGAACGCCGAAGGUGAAAACAGGCUGCUGGGGUCGCGCCGACGCUGAGACACGAAAGCCAGGGGAGCAAACGGG
RNAcentral lists this ribosomal RNA (253 nucleotides) under uncultured bacterium. RNAcentral describes it as "partial 16S ribosomal RNA". It matches the Rfam family "Bacterial small subunit ribosomal RNA", at positions 524 to 776 of the family's 1533-position model. The record is from RNAcentral.